RNAcentral lists this ribosomal RNA (465 nucleotides) under uncultured bacterium. Its description in RNAcentral is "partial 16S ribosomal RNA". It matches the Rfam family "Bacterial small subunit ribosomal RNA", at positions 28 to 507 of the family's 1533-position model. The record is from RNAcentral.
GACGAACGCUGGCGGCGUGCUUAACACAUGCAAGUCGAACGGAAAGGCCCCUUUGGGGGUACUCGAGUGGCGAACGGGUGAGUAACACGUGAGUAACCUGCCCUUGACUUCGGGAUAACUUCAGGAAACUGGGGCUAAUACCGGAUAGGAAUCCUUGCUGCAUGGUGGGGGUUGGAAAGCUUCGGCGGUUUUGGAUGGACUCGCGGCUUAUCAGCUUGUUGGUGGGGUAGUGGAUUACCAAGGCUUUGACGGGUAGCCGGACUGAGAGGGCGACCGGCCACAUUGGGACUGAGAUACGGCCCAGACUCCUACGGGAGGCAGCAGUGGGGAAUAUUGCACAAUGGGCGGAAGCCUGAUGCAGAAACGCCGCGUGCGGGAUGACGGCCUUCGGGUUGUAAACCGCUUUCAGCAGGGGCGAAGCUUGUGGUGACGGUACCUGCAGAAGAAGCACCGGCUAACUACGUG